This 65-nucleotide transfer RNA is filed under the name Septaria lineata. Its description in RNAcentral is "tRNA-Gly". Lineage: Eukaryota; Metazoa; Mollusca; Gastropoda; Cycloneritida; Neritidae. The record is from RNAcentral.
ACCUCUUUAGUAUAUUUGUACGACUGCCUUCCAAGCAGUAAGAUUAGAAAUCUCUAAAGGAGGUA